GACGAACGCUGGCGGCGUGCUUAACACAUGCAAGUCGAACGGAAAGGCCCGCUUGCGGGUACUCGAGUGGCGAACGGGUGAGUAACACGUGGGUAACCUGCCCUCAGCUUUGGGAUAACUCCCGGAAACGGGUGCUAAUACCGAAUACUGACCAACUACCGCAUGGCAGAUGGUUGAAAGUUUUUCGGCUGAGGAUGGGCCCGCGGCCUAUCAGCUAGUUGGUGGGGUGAUGGCCUACCAAGGCGACGACGGGUAGCCGGCCUGAGAGGGCGACCGGCCACACUGGAACUGAGACACGGUCCAGACUCCUACGGGAGGCAGCAGUGGGGAAUAUUGCGCAAUGGGCGAAAGCCUGACGCAGCGACGCCGCGUGAGGGAUGACGGCCUUCGGGUUGUAAACCUCUUUCGACAGGGACGAAUUUGACGGUACCUGUAAAAGAAGCACCGGCUAACUACGUGCCAGCCGCCGCCGUAAAAC
Molecule: ribosomal RNA, 478 nt
Filed under: uncultured bacterium
Lineage: Bacteria
Description: bacterial SSU rRNA
Rfam family: Bacterial small subunit ribosomal RNA
Source: RNAcentral